Molecule: ribosomal RNA, 1462 nt
Filed under: uncultured bacterium
Lineage: Bacteria
Description: 16S ribosomal RNA
Rfam family: Bacterial small subunit ribosomal RNA
Source: RNAcentral
AGAGUUUGAUCAUGGCUCAGAACGAACGCUGGCGGCGUGCCUAACACAUGCAAGUCGAACGAGAAUCACUCUUCGGAGUGAGGAAAGUGGCGCACGGGUGAGUAACGCGUGGGUAAUCUGCCCUUUGGUUGGGGAUAACGGUUGGAAACGACCGCUAAUACCCCAUAUGCCUACUGGUGAAAUGAAUUUCGCCUGAGGAUGAGCUCGCGUCUGAUUAGCUAGUUGGUGAGGUAAUGGCUCACCAAGGCUUCGAUCAGUAGCUGGUCUGAGAGGAUGAUCAGCCACACUGGGACUGAGACACGGCCCAGACUCCUACGGGAGGCAGCAGUGGGGAAUUUUCCGCAAUGGGCGAAAGCCUGACGGAGCAACGCCGCGUGAGGGACGAAGGCCUCUGGGCUGUAAACCUCUUUUCUCAAGGAAGAAGAUAUGACGGUACUUGAGGAAUAAGCCACGGCUAAUUCCGUGCCAGCAGCCGCGGUAAUACGGGAGUGGCAAGCGUUAUCCGGAAUUAUUGGGCGUAAAGCGUUCGCAGGCGGCUUUUCAAGUCUGCUGUUAAAGCGUGGAGCUUAACUCCAUCAUGGCAGUGGAAACUGAAAGGCUUGAGUAUGGUAGGGGCAGAGGGAAUUCCCGGUGUAGCGGUGAAAUGCGUAGAUAUCGGGAAGAACACCAGUGGCGAAGGCGCUCUGCUGGGCCAUUACUGACGCUCAUGGACGAAAGCCAGGGGAGCGAAAGGGAUUAGAUACCCCUGUAGUCCUGGCCGUAAACGAUGAACACUAGGUGUCGGGGGAAUCGACCCCUUCGGUGUCGUAGCUAACGCGUUAAGUGUUCCGCCUGGGGAGUACGCACGCAAGUGUGAAACUCAAAGGAAUUGACGGGGGCCCGCACAAGCGGUGGAGUAUGUGGUUUAAUUCGAUGCAACGCGAAGAACCUUACCAGGGUUUGACAUCCUGCGAACCUCUUAGAAAUUUGAGGGUGCCUUCGGGAAUGCAGUGACAGGUGGUGCAUGGCUGUCGUCAGCUCGUGUCGUGAGAUGUUGGGUUAAGUCCCGCAACGAGCGCAACCCACGUUUUUAGUUGCCAGCAUUUAGUUGGGCACUCUAGAAAGACCGCCGGUGAUAAACCGGAGGAAGGUGUGGAUGACGUCAAGUCAUCAUGCCCCUUACACCCUGGGCUACACACGUACUACAAUGCUACGGACAAAGGGCAGCAAACUCGCGAGAGCUAGCAAAUCCCAUAAACCGUGGCUCAGUUCAGAUCGUAGGCUGCAACUCGCCUACGUGAAGUAGGAAUCGCUAGUAAUCGCAGGUCAGCAUACUGCGGUGAAUACGUUCCCGGGCCUUGUACACACCGCCCGUCACACCAUGGAAGUUGGCCAUGCCCGAAGUCGUUACUCCAACCCUUGUGGAGGAGGACGCCGAAGGUGGGGCUAAUGACUGGGGUGAAGUCAUAACAAGGUAGCCGUA